CAGAAAAUAGUUUAAUGUAGAAUGCCAGUUUUGGGGGCUGGUGGUGGGGGUUUGAUUCCCCCUUUUCUGA
RNAcentral lists this transfer RNA (70 nucleotides) under Histrio histrio (sargassumfish). RNAcentral's name for it is "tRNA-Pro". It matches the Rfam family "tRNA". Rfam says of the family: Transfer RNA (tRNA) molecules are approximately 80 nucleotides in length. Their secondary structure includes four short double-helical elements and three loops (D, anti-codon, and T loops). Lineage: Eukaryota; Metazoa; Chordata; Actinopteri; Lophiiformes; Antennariidae. The record is from RNAcentral.